Molecule: long non-coding RNA, 619 nt
Filed under: Brassica rapa (field mustard)
Lineage: Eukaryota; Viridiplantae; Streptophyta; Magnoliopsida; Brassicales; Brassicaceae
Description: long non-coding RNA (BRAP_LNC004025)
Source: RNAcentral
UAAUGAAUUAAAUUGGUAUAAUUCUGAUAAAUUAAUUUUAUUAUGUGGUUAAUAUUUUAAUAAAAAAAAUAUUUUUAAUAAGAUUUAUACUUUUCAAUGUAAAAAUUUAAUUUUUUAUGAAUGCUUAAAUUAUACUAAGAAAAGAAAAAAAUAAUAAUUAAAAAUAGUUAAAAAAAAUUAUUUGAACUUGGACUCAAUGGUCCAAAGGAAAAAAAAAAUGUGAGAAUUGGAUCUGAUUUUUUAAUCAGCUCAAAUGGCCCAAAAGAGAUCUGAUGUGGGCUGGAUCAAAAAAAAAAAGACCCAAUAUAGAUGUGUUAUUACUAUUAUUUGAUUGCCCUUAAUGAAACAUGUAAUGUUAGUAAAGAAAAGGGCAGACUAAAGUAAAAAAACAAUAGGAUCCUGCUUUAAUAGUAUAGAUUAGACGAAACUUUAAUUCUAAAAAUAAUCAAACAAGCGACAGAAAUAAGAUAGCUAGGAAGUACAAGCUGGCCAGUUGACUGGGGUUUUUAAAUGCCCAUCAAGCUUGAGCAGUAUAUCUCGAAUCGAAUCGAAGGAUUUAAACCUGACAUAGCUCAAAUAAUCUUUCCAUGUAAAUUCGAAAGGGUUUUGUGGCAUCCAC